GUUUUAGUAUAAGUAUGUCCCAUGCAACAUUUGAGACAUACUUAUGCUAAAA
Molecule: microRNA precursor, 52 nt
Organism: Nomascus leucogenys (northern white-cheeked gibbon)
Lineage: Eukaryota; Metazoa; Chordata; Mammalia; Primates; Hylobatidae
Rfam family: mir-1302 microRNA precursor family
Source: Rfam